GUUUAAAGCAGGCUAACGCUUGAAUACAUUAGCAUGGAAUAAUGAAAUAGGACGUUCGAACCUAUUUUGUUGGUUUCUAGGAUUGACUAAUGAUUAAUAGGGGAUAGUUGGGGGCAUUAGUAUUCAAUUGUCAGAGGUGAAAUUCUUGGAUUUAUUGAAGACUGACUACUGCGAAAGCAUUUGCCAAGGAUGUUUUCAUUAAUCAAGAACGAAAUUAGGGGAUCGAAGACGAUCAGAUACCGUCGUAGUCUUAACCAUAAACUAUGCCGACUAGGGAUCGGAUGAUGUAAUUUUUAAUGACUCA
RNAcentral lists this ribosomal RNA (304 nucleotides) under uncultured Glomeromycotina. Its description in RNAcentral is "SSU rRNA". It matches the Rfam family "Eukaryotic small subunit ribosomal RNA", at positions 773 to 1078 of the family's 1831-position model. The record is from RNAcentral. Lineage: Eukaryota; Fungi; Glomeromycota.